GUGAAUCAUCGAAUCUUUGAACGCAUCUUGCGCUCCUUGGCAUUCCGAGGAGCAUGCCUGUUUGAGUGUCGUGGAAUAUCCUCAAUUUCAAUCUUUUUGCUUGAAAUUGGAUUUGGACGUUGUUGGCAUCUUCAACUCGUCCUAAAUGCAUUAGCGAAUCUGCCUUGAUCACGCACAAUGUGAUAACUAUGAUCAUUGUUAGGGUCAAAUGGAAUCGCUUCUAAUCGUCGAAAGACACUUUAUGUCAUUUGACCUCAAAUCAGGUAGGACUACCCGCUGAACUUAAGCAUAUCAAUAAGCGGAGGA
RNAcentral lists this unclassified non-coding RNA (306 nucleotides) under Geastrum sp. Its description in RNAcentral is "partial contains 5.8S ribosomal RNA, internal transcribed spacer 2, and large subunit ribosomal RNA". The stretch from base 1 to 71 matches the Rfam family "5.8S ribosomal RNA", at positions 84 to 154 of the family's 154-position model. The record is from RNAcentral. Lineage: Eukaryota; Fungi; Basidiomycota; Agaricomycetes; Geastrales; Geastraceae.